GCAGGCGUAGUGUUUAACGGAUAGCAUACUGGUCUUCCAAACCAGGGGUACGGGUUCAAAUCCCGUUGUCUGCUCCA
RNAcentral lists this transfer RNA (77 nucleotides) under Flavonifractor sp. An4. RNAcentral describes it as "tRNA-Gly". It matches the Rfam family "tRNA". From Rfam's summary of the family: Transfer RNA (tRNA) molecules are approximately 80 nucleotides in length. The record is from RNAcentral. Lineage: Bacteria; Bacillati; Bacillota; Clostridia; Eubacteriales; Oscillospiraceae.